This 295-nucleotide long non-coding RNA is filed under the name Brassica napus (rape). RNAcentral's name for it is "long non-coding RNA (BNAP_LNC005733)". Lineage: Eukaryota; Viridiplantae; Streptophyta; Magnoliopsida; Brassicales; Brassicaceae. The record is from RNAcentral.
GGGCGUGGGUGGCCAUUAGCUGUGGGCAGGCGGGGCGUUAUAAGUGGUAUCAGAGCGAGUUUAGCCACAUCGGUUCUGAUCCGAGAGGCGUCUUGAGACAUGUCAUGGGACACAACAAGGACGUUGCAUUCUUUGAGAGGGGAUGAAUUGUAAUAUCCCGAGCUGUGAUAUAUGGAAUGGCUUAAGAGAAUUGAUUUGACUACUUAUGUCAUUAAAGUUGACUUACAUUUUUCGUCACACAUCCGUUUAGAACUUCAGAGUUAAGCAUGCUUUAGCUAGAGUAGUGAAAGGAUGG